AGAGAGAGACAUGCGCGCAUAUCAAUAAGCGGAGGAAAAGAAACUAACAAGGAUUCCCCUAGUAACGGCGAGUGAAGCGGGAAGAGCUCAAAUUUGAAAUCUUAAAGGGUUUCCCUUUACGAAUUGUAGUUUAAAGAAGUGUUUUCUGUUGAGGUUUUGGUAAAAGUUCUUUGGAAUAGGACAUCAUAGAGGGUGAGAAUCCCGUAUUUGACCUUUACUUUACAACUUUGUGAUACACUUUCAAAGAGUCGGAUUGUUUGGGAAUGCAGUCCAAAAUGGGUGGUAAAUUUCAUCUAAAGCUAAAUAUUGGCGAGAGACCGAUAGCGAACAAGUACCGUGAGGGAAAGAUGAAAAGAACUUUGAAAAGAGAGUUAAACAGUACGUGAAAUUGUCAAAAGGGAAGCGUUUGACACCAGUGUUGUUUUUCUGAAAAUCAAUUAAAGAACUGUUUAUGCUAAGCUGUUUAGACUUUAUCAGCUAUCUGUUUAGUUUUGAGCUUUUCUUUAAUGCACUUUUCAGUUAACAAGUCAACAUCAAUUUCUUUUGCUGUAAAAAAGCUUGAGGAAGGUGGCUUGAGAUUCGUCUUAAGUGUUUAUAGCCUCUUGCCUAUGCAGUCGGAGAGAUUGAGGUCUGCAGCGUAGAUCCUUCGGGGCUAAAUGCAUUUGUGCUAAGUUAUAGCAUUUUAUAGACAACUUGUUGACUAUGAUUUGUCUUGUAGCUUACUCGCUUAUGUUAUUUUACCUACGCUUAGGAUGUUGACGCAUGAGAUAUACGC
This 775-nucleotide ribosomal RNA is filed under the name uncultured Neocallimastigales. RNAcentral's name for it is "partial large subunit ribosomal RNA". It matches the Rfam family "Eukaryotic large subunit ribosomal RNA", at positions 23 to 647 of the family's 3401-position model. Lineage: Eukaryota; Fungi; Neocallimastigomycota; Neocallimastigomycetes; Neocallimastigales. The record is from RNAcentral.